RNAcentral lists this ribosomal RNA (254 nucleotides) under uncultured bacterium. Its description in RNAcentral is "partial 16S ribosomal RNA". It matches the Rfam family "Bacterial small subunit ribosomal RNA", at positions 524 to 776 of the family's 1533-position model. The record is from RNAcentral.
UACGUAGGGGGCAAGCGUUGUCCGGAUUUAUUGGGCGUAAAGAGCUCGUAGGUGGUUUGGUAAGUCGGAUGUGAAAUCUCCAGGCUCAACCUGGAGGGGUCAUUCGAUACUGCCAUGGCUAGAGGUCGGUAGGGGAGUGUGGAAUUCCUGGUGGAGCGGUGAGAUGCGCAGAUAUCAGGAGGAACACCAAUGGCGAAGGCAGCUCGCUGGGACGUGACUGACGCUGAGACGCGAAAGCGUGGGGAGCAAACAGG